This 258-nucleotide ribosomal RNA is filed under the name uncultured bacterium. RNAcentral's name for it is "partial 16S ribosomal RNA". It matches the Rfam family "Bacterial small subunit ribosomal RNA", at positions 524 to 781 of the family's 1533-position model. The record is from RNAcentral.
UACGAAGGGGGCUAGCGUUGCUCGGAAUUACUGGGCGUAAAGCGCACGUAGGCGGCUUUCUAAGUCGGGGGUGAAAUCCUGGAGCUCAACUCCAGAACUGCCUUCGAUACUGGACAUCUUGAGUACGGGAGAGGUGAGUGGAACUCCGAGUGUAGAGGUGAAAUUCGUAGAUAUUCGGAAGAACACCAGUGGCGCAGGCAGCGUCCUGGCCGCUUGCUGACACUGAGGCACGAAAGCUGGGGGAGCAAACAGGAUUAG